RNAcentral lists this long non-coding RNA (620 nucleotides) under Androctonus crassicauda. Lineage: Eukaryota; Metazoa; Arthropoda; Arachnida; Scorpiones; Buthidae. The record is from RNAcentral.
AAUUACUGUGCAUUUUUAAAAUUUUAAAAGUUUAUUGUAAUUUAUUUUUGGAUUCGAGAAAAUAUAUUUAAAAAAUAAUGUUAAAGAAUAAUAUCGAGUGGGAAAUUUUUUAGCUAAAUUAAAAAUAAAAUCAUUUAUCAGAUAAAUGCAUUUUAAUAUUCAAUUUUUUGUUAUUUAUUAUUUCGUUAUUUUCCUUAAAGAACAUAAAGAGAGAGCGCAUGCGUUGUUUCUAAUUACGUCAUGUGACCGACUCUGUUCGGCACGUGGACGACCGUUGCUAUGGCAAUGUGUGCCUUUCGAGUUCAUGUGGAAGGAAAACAAUUUGUAUUACGUCACAGAUCUUCUAUUUGUUAUUUUAUUUCCUUAUUUUCAAUGCGAUAUUUCCUCGCGUCUGAAAUAAAUCUAAUUUGAAAUAUGCCCAAUUGUAAUCUUUAGAAUUUUUCACAGUUUAUAUUUUAAAAUAUAUUUUUUCCAAUAUAAAUAUAAUAAUUCUUUAAAAUACUGUACUAACAAGUAACUGGAACAUCUGAUAAUUCAUGCAGCAAGAAAUGUUAAAUGAAAGUAGGGCUUUUGUUCAUUUUUAGAUCGUUCCUCCAUAAAGAUUAGAUCGGAAGAGCGUC